CCUCGAGUGGCAGACUAGUGCCUCGAACUUAGAAUUCGAAUAAGCGACCAGAUGUCGCCUCGAGGA
This 66-nucleotide transfer RNA is filed under the name Bovicola caprae. Its description in RNAcentral is "tRNA-Leu". Lineage: Eukaryota; Metazoa; Arthropoda; Insecta; Psocodea; Bovicoliidae. The record is from RNAcentral.